RNAcentral lists this small nucleolar RNA (244 nucleotides) under Oidiodendron maius Zn. RNAcentral's name for it is "Small nucleolar RNA snR191". It matches the Rfam family "Small nucleolar RNA snR191". The record is from Rfam by way of RNAcentral. Lineage: Eukaryota; Fungi; Ascomycota; Leotiomycetes; Myxotrichaceae.
UUCCAUCGUUAAGUCAAGGCUCCUUCUGCAUUUUCGUGCAUCUCGCAAUGGAAGGAAGUCUGUUACAACUUUGGUAGAUUGAGUCCUUGCUCGCCGCUCUUGGUUUUCGGAUCUUGAGUAGGCGGCUCACCGUCUUGGCGAGCCUGCCGCAUAGAGUUUGGUAGUGUUCCGUUUGAGUUGAAGGCCACUUCCACCCUUCCGUUGGUGGCUUGUGGUGGUUUUCUUAGUAAUGUUUCAUACAUCG